UCCUCCGUCGUAGCAAGACCCACCCGGGCAGACUUGCGCGAUUAAAGGAAAAGCAUCUGGAUCUAUAUUUUUUGAUUAUCAGCAUAUCAUAUUGCUUUUAUUAUUAAAUAGUGAUUUUAUUCAUAUCUACAAUAUGCAACCUAUUCGCAAACUCAACAUUUCCUCAGCUCAAGCUCUCUGAUUUCCUAUGAACAACGAACAACUCACUCAACUGUGGCCCAUCGCUGAUACAAACUUAACCUUUACAUCAUAUAUUUUCAACCGCGGGUUGUGCUGUAUACAAUUUUUCUGAGGUAAGAUUUAUAUUAUGUAAACGACCUAAUUAGGCUUCCGGAGUGUAAUAGUUAUCCAACACUCAGAUAAUAAAAAUCAAUAUAUAAAGGUUAUAAUGUAUAAUUCUUUAUUAAUAUGCAGUAUUAAACAAUAAUACAAUAAUAUUAAAUUUUUCUCAAGAGUAAAUAAAUUAUUUUAUUAUUAGUAUUAAUAAUGAAAUUUUUUUUUUUUUAUUGAUCUUAAAAACAUCGACAACAAAGGCCAUUAGUUACAUACAGGUUAUGAUAUAUAAGAUACAUAAUUUAUUAUGAUACAUUUAAUUUUUUUUUUUUUACUAAAAAAGGUUGAACAAUUUAGUUUGUUUUGUAAAAUUAAUUAUCUCUAAAUUUUUUUUCAUGAUUGGGUCCGAGUGCGGUGUCAAGGUUGUAGGAUAUCCCAUUCAUAACACGCUCUUGGUUGAAUUUUAAACAGUCGGCUAUUAAGUGUUUGACAGUUAAAGCAGUUCCACAAGUUUGGCAAAUGGGCAAAGGAGGGUCCCUCUCUGGCCGUCAGAAAACCAUGGGCGAUUCUGGUAUGACCAAUGCGGAGUCUGUUAAGAACAGUCUCCUCUUUCCGGUUCAGCUUUGGAUUUGUUCAGCGGAAGAUGAUGUCUCUUUUGAUUUCCUUUAAUUUAGUAUUUUGUGUGUUAAUAAUGAAAUUUAUAAACAUCUAUAAGUUUUAAUGUAUAGACUCAAUUGUUUAUUGUUAUAUAAAUAUUUGAGUAUAAUUCUACAGGUUUUAAAUUUAAAUAAUUAUAUUCUUAUACUGCUGAAAAAAUAGUUACCUACCUAAUGAAACACAAUAUAAUAUGUAUUAAUAUUUAAAAUAUGUAGGUAUUGAAAUUAUAUAGAUCAUGUAUAAGCA
This is a long non-coding RNA of Rhopalosiphum padi (bird cherry-oat aphid), 1176 nucleotides long. RefSeq lists it as uncharacterized. NCBI's taxonomy places the organism in Eukaryota, Metazoa, Arthropoda, Insecta, Hemiptera, Aphididae. The record is from RefSeq and is a predicted model, not a curated record. The transcript has 3 exons.